GGAUUUCUAACCCGCAGCACUUAUCGUGCUGGGAGACAGUGUCAGGCGGGCAGUUUGACUGGGGCGGUCGCCUCCUAAAGUGUAACGGAGGCGCUCAAAGGUUCCCUCAGAAUGGUUGGAAAUCAUUCAUAGAGUGUAAAGGCAUAAGGGAGCUUGACUGCGAGACCUACAAGUCGAGCAGGGUCGAAAGACGGACUUAGUGAUCCGGUGGUUCCGCAUGGAAGGGCCAUCGCUCAACGGAUAAAAGCUACCCCG
This 255-nucleotide ribosomal RNA is filed under the name Staphylococcus coagulans. Its description in RNAcentral is "partial 23S ribosomal RNA". It matches the Rfam family "Bacterial large subunit ribosomal RNA", at positions 2216 to 2470 of the family's 2925-position model. The record is from RNAcentral. Lineage: Bacteria; Bacillati; Bacillota; Bacilli; Caryophanales; Staphylococcaceae.